Jatropha curcas is the source of this 220-nucleotide non-coding RNA. The record is from Rfam. Lineage: Eukaryota; Viridiplantae; Streptophyta; Magnoliopsida; Malpighiales; Euphorbiaceae.
AUUUCUGUAGUCAUGAACUGGAUCCGUUCUUUAGGACCGUACCUCUGUAUCCUUUAGUGCAAAGGAGACAGGAACCCACGUCUGAUGGAUGAAUCAUGACCGCGUGAUCGGAGCGUGAUGAGUAACGGUUUGAUGAUCCUCGUUGGGUCAUCGACGCUGUAGAGGAUCGUCCCUGGUUAGCUAAACCAACUAGGUUUGUCGCAUGGCUGUCUGACAGAUC